GCUCACUUGGUGGAAUCGGUAGACACGGUAGACUCAAACUCUGCUCCCUCCGGGGAUCUCGGUUCGAGUCCGAGAGUGAGCA
This 82-nucleotide transfer RNA is filed under the name Picocystis salinarum. Its description in RNAcentral is "tRNA-Leu". It matches the Rfam family "tRNA". From Rfam's summary of the family: Transfer RNA (tRNA) molecules are approximately 80 nucleotides in length. Their secondary structure includes four short double-helical elements and three loops (D, anti-codon, and T loops). Further hydrogen bonds mediate the characteristic L-shaped molecular structure. tRNAs have two regions of fundamental functional importance: the anti-codon, which is responsible for specific mRNA codon recognition, and the 3' end, to which the tRNAs corresponding amino acid is attached (by aminoacyl-tRNA synthetases). tRNAs cope with the degeneracy of the genetic code in two manners: having more than one tRNA (with a specific anti-codon) for a particular amino acid; and 'wobble' base-pairing, i.e. permitting non-standard base-pairing at the 3rd anti-codon position. The record is from RNAcentral. Lineage: Eukaryota; Viridiplantae; Chlorophyta; Picocystophyceae; Picocystales; Picocystaceae.